Molecule: ribosomal RNA, 468 nt
Filed under: uncultured bacterium
Lineage: Bacteria
Description: partial 16S ribosomal RNA
Rfam family: Bacterial small subunit ribosomal RNA
Source: RNAcentral
GACGAACGCUGGCGGCGUGCUUAACACAUGCAAGUCGAACGGAAAGGCCCUGCUUUUGUGGGGUGCUCGAGUGGCGAACGGGUGAGUAACACGUGAGUAACCUGCCCUUGACUUUGGGAUAACUUCAGGAAACUGGGGCUAAUACCGGAUAGGAGCUCCUGCUGCAUGGUGGGGGUUGGAAAGUUUCGGCGGUUGGGGAUGGACUCGCGGCUUAUCAGCUUGUUGGUGGGGUAGUGGCUUACCAAGGCUUUGACGGGUAGCCGGCCUGAGAGGGUGACCGGCCACAUUGGGACUGAGAUACGGCCCAGACUCCUACGGGAGGCAGCAGUGGGGAAUAUUGCACAAUGGGCGGAAGCCUGAUGCAGCAACGCCGCGUGCGGGAUGACGACCUUCGGGUUGUAAACCGCUUUCGCCUGUGACGAAGCGUGAGUGACGGUAAUGUGUAAAGAAGCACCGGCUAACUACGUG